This is a non-coding RNA of Ictidomys tridecemlineatus (thirteen-lined ground squirrel), 69 nucleotides long. Lineage: Eukaryota; Metazoa; Chordata; Mammalia; Rodentia; Sciuridae. The record is from Rfam.
GGGAUUGUGGCUCAGUGGCAGAGCGCUUGCCUCUUGUGUGUGAGGCACUGAGUUCGAUCCUCAGCACCA